RNAcentral lists this ribosomal RNA (468 nucleotides) under uncultured bacterium. Its description in RNAcentral is "partial 16S ribosomal RNA". It matches the Rfam family "Bacterial small subunit ribosomal RNA", at positions 28 to 507 of the family's 1533-position model. The record is from RNAcentral.
GAUGAACGCUGGCGGCGUGCUUAACACAUGCAAGUCGAACUGUGAAGGCGGAGCUUGCUCUGCUGGAUCAGUGGCGAACGGGUGAGUAACACGUGAGCAAUCUGCCCCUGACUCUGGGAUAAGCUCUGGAAACGUCGUCUAAUACUGGAUACGAGCUGCGAAGGCAUCUUCAGCAGCUGGAAAGAACUUCGGUCCGGGAUGAUCUCUCGGCCUAUCAGCUUGUUGGUGAGGUAACGGCUCACCAAGGCGUCGACGGGUAGCCGGCCUGAGAGGGUGACCGGGCAAACUGGGACUGAGACACGGCCCAGACUCCUACGGGAGGCAGCAGUGGGGAAUAUUGCAAAAUGGGAGAAAGCCUGAUGCAGAAACGCCGCGUGAGGGACGACGGCCUUCGGGUUGUAAAACUCGUUUAGCAGGGAAGAAGAGAAAGUGACGGUACCUGCAGAAAAAGCGCCGGCUAACUACGUG